AUUGAACGCUGGCGGCAGGCCUAACACAUGCAAGUCGAACGAGCGGCGGACGGGUGAGUAAUGCAUGGGAAUCUGGCUUAUGGAGGGAGAUAACUACUGGAAACUGUGGCUAAUACCGCAUACUAUAGGAUGAGCCCACGUGGGAUUAGGUAGUUGGUGAGGUAAAGGCUCACCAAGCCGACGAUCUCUAGCUGGUCUGAGAGGAUGACCAGCCACACUGGGACUGAGACACGGCCCAGACUCCUACGGGAGGCAGCAGUGGGGAAUAUUGCGCAAUGGGCGAAAGCCUGACGCAGCAAUGCCGCGUGUAUGAAGAAGGCCUUCGGGUUGUAAAGUACUUUCAGUAGGGAGGCGUUACCUACAGAAGAAGCACCGGCUAACUACGUGCCAGCAGCCGCGGUAAUAC
Molecule: ribosomal RNA, 406 nt
Filed under: uncultured bacterium
Lineage: Bacteria
Description: partial 16S ribosomal RNA
Rfam family: Bacterial small subunit ribosomal RNA
Source: RNAcentral